UUGCCAGGCUGCAGAGAAUCCAGUCACCAAUCUAUGCAGGCCCACACAUUGCCUGAGGGCUUGUUGUUGGGUGGGGCCAGUCUCUAGGGUGGGCUGCCUGCUCUGGCUGAGCUGGAUUAAAUCGGUGCUCUAGCGGGUGGAGCAGACCCUGGGCUAGCAGGCCUCAGGGAGAACUCCAAUGGCGUCUGUGUCAGCACGCUCACACCAGGCCCCAACAAUGGCCGCCGCCAAUGUCCCAGUCCCUGGAGAGGUCUCACCCCUCACCGAGAUGCACUCAGGGCCUAUUAGAUUUUGACAACAGGAGUACGAGCAAAGACAAAAAGGCACGAAGCUUAAGUAGAUGUUGCUGCAACUCCACAACUUACAUCACAGAAAGCCUCCUACCUUGAAAUCACAGAACACAUAAUAGGAUGAACACCACCCUCAGAACACAUCUGGGAAACGCUGAUUUCAGUCAUCAUUCUGCGUUGGCGGAGUCUCGCUUUCUCCAGUGGCGGAUCCACGUGUAUGUCCUUCUCCAAGGUCUCUUCUCCUGUCGUGUGAUGCCCAUACAUGCUAGCCUGUUCAUAUGGCUCUCACUGCAUCACCCCAGAAGAGGGAGAGAAAUUGGGGUGUAGGGAACUGAUGCAGUUACUACUAGGUUAAAUCAACUUGGAUACUA
Long non-coding RNA from Diceros bicornis minor, 661 nucleotides. RefSeq lists it as uncharacterized. The record is from RefSeq and is a predicted model, not a curated record. Lineage: Eukaryota; Metazoa; Chordata; Mammalia; Perissodactyla; Rhinocerotidae. The transcript has 5 exons.